AGUUUGAUCCUGGCUCAGGAUAAAACGCUGGCGGCGCACAUAAGACAUGCAAGUCGAACGGAUUAACCAUUAGUUUACUAUUGGAGCGGUUAGUGGCGGACUGGUGAGUAACACGUAAGCAACCUGCCUAUCAGAGGGGAACAACAGUUAGAAAUGACUGCUAAUACCGCAUAUGCCAUGAAUAUCACAUGAUAUAAAUGGGAAAGGAGCAAUCCGCUGAUAGAUGGGCUUGCGUCUGAUUAGAUAGUUGGUGGGGUAACGGCCUACCAAGUCGACGAUCAGUAGCCGGACUGAGAGGUUGAACGGCCACAUUGGGACUGAGAUACGGCCCAGACUCCUACGGGAGGCAGCAGUCGGGAAUAUUGCGCAAUGGAGGAAACUCUGACGCAGUGACGCCGCGUGCAGGAAGAAGGUUUUCGGAUUGUAAACCGCUUUAGACAGGGAAGAUAAUGACAGUACCUGUAGAAUAAGCUCCGGCUAACUACGUG
This 488-nucleotide ribosomal RNA is filed under the name uncultured Eubacteriales bacterium. Its description in RNAcentral is "bacterial SSU rRNA". It matches the Rfam family "Bacterial small subunit ribosomal RNA", at positions 10 to 507 of the family's 1533-position model. Lineage: Bacteria; Bacillati; Bacillota; Clostridia; Eubacteriales. The record is from RNAcentral.